This is a small RNA of Flavobacterium sp. KMS, 78 nucleotides long. It matches the Rfam family "Flavo-1 RNA". The record is from Rfam. Lineage: Bacteria; Pseudomonadati; Bacteroidota; Flavobacteriia; Flavobacteriales; Flavobacteriaceae.
UUCUAGCCCAGAUAGGAACGGCAUCCUUUGCUUGCCUUCUUUAGGCAAGUAAAGAUAAAGUGGAUAGCUGGAAAUAGC